AGGGUUUCUCUGUGUGGCCCUGGCUGUUCUGGAACUCUGUAGACCAGGCUGUCCUCGAACUCAGAUCUACCUGCCUCUGCCCCCAACACCACCCAGCUACCAUCUCUUCUCAGUGGUAUCAGUGGGAUGCAGUUGAAUGGCCCUCCUGUUUCAACCCUGCCACAUGGGACUAAGUGUCUGAGUGACAUUGUCCAGGUAGGGGUGAAGAUACAGCGGGAGAGACCCUGUACCACUGGAUUCCUGGGAACACACUGUCGUGGUUGAUGGGUCCUGAUUCAGAUGGUGGUCCCUAGGAGACUGUGGAGGUGCCUGGAAGCCAAUGUUCUGCUAGCAGCCUUCAGAUGAAGAUGUAGAACUCUCAGCUCCUCCUGCACCAUGCCUGCCUGGAUGCUGCCAUAUUUCCACCUUGAUGAU
Mastomys coucha (southern multimammate mouse) is the source of this 414-nucleotide long non-coding RNA. RefSeq lists it as uncharacterized. The transcript has 3 exons. NCBI's taxonomy places the organism in Eukaryota, Metazoa, Chordata, Mammalia, Rodentia, Muridae. The record is from RefSeq and is a predicted model, not a curated record.